Molecule: transfer RNA, 64 nt
Filed under: Dolycoris baccarum (sloe bug)
Lineage: Eukaryota; Metazoa; Arthropoda; Insecta; Hemiptera; Pentatomidae
Also listed under: 2 other names
Description: tRNA-Gly
Rfam family: tRNA
About the family: Transfer RNA (tRNA) molecules are approximately 80 nucleotides in length. Their secondary structure includes four short double-helical elements and three loops (D, anti-codon, and T loops). Further hydrogen bonds mediate the characteristic L-shaped molecular structure. tRNAs have two regions of fundamental functional importance: the anti-codon, which is responsible for specific mRNA codon recognition, and the 3' end, to which the tRNAs corresponding amino acid is attached (by aminoacyl-tRNA synthetases). tRNAs cope with the degeneracy of the genetic code in two manners: having more than one tRNA (with a specific anti-codon) for a particular amino acid; and 'wobble' base-pairing, i.e. permitting non-standard base-pairing at the 3rd anti-codon position.
Source: RNAcentral
AUCUUUUUAGUAUAAAUUAAUAUAUUUGACUUCCAAUCAAAAGAUCUUAAGUUAAGAAAAGAUA